This 3695-nucleotide long non-coding RNA is filed under the name Mus musculus (house mouse). RNAcentral describes it as "long non-coding RNA chr17:6157352-6161047". Lineage: Eukaryota; Metazoa; Chordata; Mammalia; Rodentia; Muridae. The record is from RNAcentral.
UCUCAAGGUGUGUGUUGUGAGACACUAUUCUAUUUUGCAUAUUUGUUUUUUUUUUUUUUUUUUUUGAGACAGGGUUUCUCUGUAUAUCCCUGAGACACUAUUCUUAAGAGAUGUCAACAAAGGUCUAUCCACCUCUGAUUCAGAACUGACAAUGGACCAAAGUAGGCGGACCACCAAAGUCCAAUGUGAAGAGCCAGGGUGUUUAAUGGGGGUUGCUUACAGGAGCGGAAAUGCUUCAAAGACAAGCUGGAUCACCAAAGUUCACUCCAGCAUGGUGGCAGCUCACUAGAACUGGCACCUAUACUUCACUGCACAGCCUGUAGGCUGCUCAGCAGCUUGCAGAGUGGUUUUCCUUGGUUUGUUUUGGUAGCUCUGUUGUUCUGAGCCUCUUGCAGGCAGCUCUGCUGAUUUCUUUUUUUCUCCAGGCAGUUCAACUUGUUUGAGAGUGUCUCUUGUCAGUCCUUAAUUGCAUUAUGAGAGAGGAGCAUCUGGUCAGUUUUGGGGACUUCCUGAAGCCAUUCAGUUGUUUAUUUCCUGAUUCUUAUAAACCUCCCUGCAAGAUUCAAUGUUUCACCUCUCUUUUAACAUCCCAGUUCUUAAGAUUCACUCCAAAAUAGAAGGUGUUAAUUUGGGAGGAACUGCUGCACAACAUGUUAUAAAAUACACUUUAAGAAUCAGUAUUGAAGUUGACACUGAUUCUCGUGAGUGAGCUUAAAGGUCGAUGAAAAAGAACACCAUUGGCAAGUAAAUUUAGAGUUGGUGAAAAUGUAGGUUCUGUAACAAAAUGGGUGAUUAACAGUAACCAGAAACUAGGGUGAAAGGAGAACAUUCCAUUCCUUAAUACUUAUUUUUCAGUUAUUUGUCACCUAGAUGUUCAAUAUUGGAAGGGAUGGGAGGUUAUCAGAAUAAUCCUCUAAGGUCUGUGUAGGUGAAAUGGCCCUUGGACAAGAACAGGCCCAUUCAGCACAAAGCUCUGUCCAUUCCUGCCGUGGAGACAGUUGUCUUCAGCAGAGGUUAGACACUAUGGAGUGUUAUUAUUAUUAUUAAUUUUUGGUUUUUCAAGACAGGGUUUCUCUGUAUAGCCCUGGCUGUCCUGGAACUCACUUUGUAGACCAGGCUGGCCUUGAACUCAGAAAUCCGCCUGCCUCUGCCUCCCAAGUGCUGGGAUCAAAGGCGUGCGCCACCACGCCUGACAUGGCGUGUAAUUAUUAACAGUGUGCUCAGGUCUAACACUUUGCUAUUCAUUUUCUGUUCAUCUUGGUUUUGUGUGUGUGUGUGUGUAUGUGUCUCCUCUCAACCCUGUCACAUUCCUCCCUACCACUUCUUGUUACUCUUUGGCCAAUAUUUUCCUCCUUUUUUGUUAAACAUUGUUUCUUAAUAAGUUUUUUGUAUGUUUAGCUUUUUUUUUUUUAAAAAGACCAGGUCUCUCAUAGCCCAGGCUGGCCUUGAACAUGUAGCUAAAGAUGACCUCUACUCUCAAAACUCCUGCCACUACUUUCAGAGUGCUAGAAUUAUAGACAAGAGCCACCCCAUCCAACUUUCAUAGAUUUUUUUUUUGAACUUCUAUUUUAAAUUCUAUUUCUUUAAACUUUUACAUUGGUUUGGAUUUCCCACAAUAUGCUUAAGAGUUAAUAUUGCAUUCUUUGUUAUGACAUUUACUGUUUGGAGCGUCACAUGGCACAGUGCACAGUGGAGGUCAAACAAUAAGUCACUUGCCCUUUUAAGGGAAUGAACUCAGUUUGUUAUGAUUGAUGGCAAGCGCCUUUGCCCACAGUGUUGUCUUGCUAGCCUAGCCCUUGAUUCUUUAAAACAGAUUUUUAAUUACACUUAUUUGGAGGGAUGUGUGGGUGUGGGUGCAUGUGCGCGCCCACGCGCACAGGUUUAUGCACCAUGGUGAGUCUAUGGAGAUCAUAGGACAACUUGUGAGGGUUGGCGUCUGCUCUCCCUUCUACCAUAUUGUUCAGCAAUGGAGAUCAUUAGGCUUGAAGGCGUGCACAUGCAUCCAUUGACCCAUCUUACCAGCCCAACACAUUAGGAGGUCCCGAGUUGGAGCUACUGGGAGAGCUUGUCUUUUGGACCGUUUUCAGCCGAGUUACCACAGUGUCUAUUAAUGGGUAUCUAGAGUCACUGUCAUUUGGCUAGAUUGGUGUUUAGCUAUUAAAAAGCUUGAGUACUGUGUGUUUUAGUGUUCAGAGAUAGUAGUAUGUUGUCCUUUGCAAGUAAGAGAUGAAGUAAGACCCGAGACUAUUUAAUCUACUGUGUCAGAACCUCUCUCAUUGAGUCUUGUAUUUUCUUUCCUUCCUUCCUUUUCUUCCUGUAAUUUUUCCUUUAUUUUAUAUGUAUGUGUGUUUUGCCUUCAUGUUAGCCUGUGCACUAUCUGUAUGCAGUGCCCAAAGAUGACAGAAGAGGCCAUUAGAUUCCUUGGGAUUAGAGGUAUCAGAGGGUCUUGAGCCAUGUGGAAUUCCAAGCCAGGCCCUCUGGAAGAAAAGCCAGUGCUCUUGAUUGCUGAGCCAUCUCUCCAGCUCUAAGUUUUGGUUUUGUUUUGUUUUUUUUCCUUAAUUAAUGGGUUUGUGUACUACUUCAUUGAAUUGGCAUUGAAUCCCUAAAUUAUAGCUUACUGUUCAAAUCUUGUAGCAUCUCUCUUUCAGGGAUGCAAGUCAUUUACUAUCAUUUUAAAAUUAGCAUUUACACUUUGAGUAAAAGGCCUGCAUUACAUGGAAAGGUAUGUACUUAAAAUCUUCAUUUCCGGGGCUGGAGAGAUGGCUCAGCGGUUAAGAGCCAUGACUGCCUUUCCAGAGGCCUUGAGUUCAAUUCCCAGCAACCACAUGGUGGCUCACAACCAUCUGUAAUGGGAUCUGGUCCUCUUCUGGUGUGUCUGAAGAUACCCACAGUGUACUCAUAUACAUAAAAAUAAAUAAAUCUUUUUUUUUUUUUUUAAAGUCUUCAUUUCCUCUUGGAGAGGAUCAUGGAAGGAGAUUCCCCUGAUAGAUUAAAACUAGCUGUUUGUUUGGUCACUUCCAUUUUUGUUGCAUAGUUUUCUUUUUAAUAAUGAACAUACAGCCCCAUUUAAAAGAGUGUCUGAUACUAACUACAUCCUGAUUUUAGAAGCUAUCUGUAGAUGAGUCUGUUUGCCCCACUUGUUUUUCCUUAUAGUAUAGAAUACUUUUUAUCAUUAACAUAAAAAUUUUAGGUGUUUAUUUUAUUUUGCCUCAUGAAUGUUCAGACAUGUCAGCUUGGGAGACUGAUUUGAGAUGACUUUUAUUGCUUUACUGAAACAGCUCUGUUGCGUAACUGUCCUGUAUCUAUCAAUACUCAGUGGAGUGGCAUCGGCAUCUGCCAGGGAUGGGAACUCACUCCUUAGCUGUUUGUACUCACUCGGAGUCCAGACUCCCUCGAAGGAUGUCUCCAAAGUGAUCCUUCAAAGAUCGCAGUGACCUUGUUCCAGUCAAGUUUGAUAGCACAAUAAGCAGGUGGAGAUGGUUGAUAUUCAGGUGUGGCCAGUUAAUACUGGGGUCUUUAAGGGCCGUAUGUAUACUUCUCAAGUGUGUUUGCUGCCUAGAAUGUUCCUGAUCUAUAUAAAAACUGUGUUGUGAAUCUCUCUCCACACAGCCUCUGUUUUGGAGCCAGGAAGGUUGUCAUAGUUGGCUGAACGCUGGUUAGGAUUAGUAUUCCUUGAUUGCCUGAUUUGUCACAUU